This 546-nucleotide ribosomal RNA is filed under the name uncultured bacterium. Its description in RNAcentral is "bacterial SSU rRNA". It matches the Rfam family "Bacterial small subunit ribosomal RNA", at positions 355 to 895 of the family's 1533-position model. The record is from RNAcentral.
UGGGGAAUAUUGCGCAAUGGGGGGAACCCUGACGCAGCCAUGCCGCGUGAAUGAAGAAGGCCUUAGGGUUGUAAAGUUCUUUCGGUAUUGAGGAAGGUUGAUGUGUUAAUAGCACAUCAAAUUGACGUUAAAUACAGAAGAAGCACCGGCUAACUCCGUGCCAGCAGCCGCGGUAAUACGGAGGGUGCGAGCGUUAAUCGGAAUAACUGGGCGUAAAGGGCACGCAGGCGGUUAUUUAAGUGAGGUGUGAAAGCCCUGGGCUUAACCUAGGAAUCGCAUUUCAGACUGGGUAACUAGAGUACUUUAGGGAGGAGUAGAAUUCCACGUGUAGCGGUGAAAUGCGUAGAGAUGUGGAGGAAUACCGAAGGCGAAGGCAGCCCCUUGGGAAUGUACUGACGCUCAUGUGCGAAAGCGUGGGGAGCAAACAGGAUUAGAUACCCUGGUAGUCCACGCUGUAAACGCUGUCGAUUUGGGGGUUGGGGUUUAACUCUGGCGCCCGUAGCUAACGUGAUAAAUCGACCGCCUGGGGAGUACGGCCGCAAGGUU